AUCGCUUCUCGGCCUUUUGGCUAAGAUCAAAGUGUAGUAUCUGUUCUUAUCAGCUUAAUAUCUGAUACGGGUUCAAAUGAACCCCAGAAUAUUAAACUGAUUUUUGAGGAAUUCGGUGGGAAAUCAAUGCUUGCAUUGAUCCUGCCACGGGUUGACCCGGUAUUGCAGUACCUCCGGGCUCGGCUCACCCCUU
Molecule: small nuclear RNA, 193 nt
Organism: Daphnia magna
Lineage: Eukaryota; Metazoa; Arthropoda; Branchiopoda; Diplostraca; Daphniidae
Product: U2 spliceosomal RNA
Exons: 1
Source: RefSeq, a predicted model, not a curated record